Molecule: ribosomal RNA, 427 nt
Filed under: uncultured bacterium
Lineage: Bacteria
Description: partial 16S ribosomal RNA
Rfam family: Bacterial small subunit ribosomal RNA
Source: RNAcentral
UGGGGAAUAUUGGACAAUGGGCGAAAGCCUGAUCCAGCCAUGCCGCGUGUGUGAAGAAGGUCUUCGGAUUGUAAAGCACUUUAAGUUGGGAGGAAGGGCAUUAACCUAAUACGUUAGUGUUUUGACGUUACCGACAGAAUAAGCACCGGCUAACUCUGUGCCAGCAGCCGCGGUAAUACAGAGGGUGCAAGCGUUAAUCGGAAUUACUGGGCGUAAAGCGCGCGUAGGUGGUUUGUUAAGUUGGAUGUGAAAUCCCCGGGCUCAACCUGGGAACUGCAUUCAAAACUGACUGACUAGAGUAUGGUAGAGGGCGGUGGAAUUUCCUGUGUAGCGGUGAAAUGCGUAGAUAUAGGAAGGAACACCAGUGGCGAAGGCGACCACCUGGACUAAUACUGACACUGAGGUGCGAAAGCGUGGGGAGCAAACA